This 1597-nucleotide unclassified non-coding RNA is filed under the name Leishmania donovani. RNAcentral describes it as "gene:LdHU3.30.0020(CDS-product:hypothetical_prote in)". Lineage: Eukaryota; Euglenozoa; Kinetoplastea; Trypanosomatida; Trypanosomatidae. The record is from RNAcentral.
AUUAAGCACCCAAGCAGUCCUGCUCACACGCUGUCCCCCUCUGCUCUCUUUGCCACGCAGCCGUUUUCAUUUCCCCGUUUCCCCACAAAGCAGAACUACACAGACCCCGUCAUCACCGCCAUCGAGAGACAUGGCCUCCAAGCUCCUCCUUGCUCUUACUCUUCUGCUGGCGAUCGCCAUGCUCGUGUCUGCUCAGACUUGCGCACCCGGCUACACUCCGGUGAAUGGCGCGUGCGUGCUGAACUGCCAGGCGGCGCACUGCGAUAUCUGCGACCCCCACGACACAACCCACACCUCUUGCGCCACAUGCUCCUUUGGAUACCUUCUCACCCCCUCCAAGACGUGCACGCCCGCGUGCUCCAUCGCCAACUGUGUGACGUGCUCUUCUUCUGGCAACAACGCGUGCCAGGAGUGCGCGCCGGGCUACCUCCGCACCGCCAAGGGCCUGUGCAAACGUUCAGGCAACUCGGCCAGCACGGUCGCCUCUGUCGCCGUGGCCAGCACCAUCUUGGCAGCCUCCUUGUUUGCUAUCGCGGAUUAAGGGUUUUCUGCUAACUCACUUUUUUUUUGUCGUUCCGCUUUCCUAAUUUCCUUCCUCCCAUUCGCUCAACUGUUUGAUUUUCGGAUUUCCGCACAAUGAAGACGGCGGCAUCCCGAUCGUCGGCAGGUGGCUCAGCGCCACAACUGACGACCGGUUCUUCCUUUGGUCUUGCAUUCUGUCACGCGUAUGCGCUUGUGCGUGUAUUCACGUGUGCGCAGCUCCUGCACUGCUCCACUUCUCGCAUGUUCUUUCUGCCGUCGUUGCUUUCCGUUUCUUCUACCCCUUCGAACUUUCACGAUGCACGCUGAGCCUACACCCUGGUGCCAUGCCACACCCACCGACACAGACUCGCCGCCACGCAUAUGUGAUGAGGGGAGGUGUGUCGUGAGGGGCUGCUGCCCUCGAGGUGCGCUCUGGCACGUGACUGCUUUCGUGUCCCGUCUACUUUGCGUACGAAUACCUCGUCGUGGUCGCGACUACAGCUUAGGAGUCGCAGAAGCUGUGAUGAAUGGGGGCUACACGGUAGCCGGCAUGCACAACCCUUUCAUUCUGCACGCACUGUCCGCCACCUGCAUACCGGCGCACACCAACGCGACAACGUCGGGGUGACGCAGCAGACUUGCUCGCUUUGAGUGCGUAAAAGGCCGUGGUCGCUCUUUUCUUCUUUCCUAUCCGUUUGCAGACGCAUUCAAAAAGCCACUCGUUGCGGCCAAGUGGACUUCAGACUGAGGGUUUGAUUAUUCCGCAUUUUUCUAGCUUUUUGUUGUCAUUGCUUCACGUCCCCGUGGCCGAAGAAACAGCGCGUCCUGUCGCGCAUGUGUGCGCAGCCCAACCCUGUCUUCAUCCCCUACUCCUUUCUCACCACAGCAGCGCAACCAUCAGCAUGGCAUCCAUGUGCACAUCGAAGAAGCCCCCAAGCCCGUUAUAGAAAAGAGCGAAGCUGAUUGCCCUAACAGAACAGAGGCUGGCCCCUUUUUCCACUCUCUCUUCCCCUCCAACAUAUGGCAUCACCUUCGACCUCUUUUACCCUUCCUCUUCUGGUCUUGACUCUCUCAG